Non-coding RNA from Doryrhamphus excisus (bluestripe pipefish), 1743 nucleotides. Lineage: Eukaryota; Metazoa; Chordata; Actinopteri; Syngnathiformes; Syngnathidae. The record is from RefSeq and is a predicted model, not a curated record.
UCGUCUCAUGCGCGGAGGCGGAGUGGUGAAGCCCCACCCACUCAAAGGCGGGCCCAGGCCCAGGAUGAUUUCAGCAGGAGGGGGUGGGCCGGGAAGGCGAGGCAAACUGUGGUAGUUUGGGAAGGGGGCAGGCUGGAAUGGUGCAUUGUGGGAGUUGUAGUAUGGAUGAUGAAGGUGAGGAUGUUGGUGGUUGAAAUAGAAGCCUGCUUCCCUGUCCCUUCCGCCUCCCCUCUCACCCCCCGGUCCGGGCGACACCCCUCUCCUCUGGCUGGGUCUUCCUUGAUGACCACCGCCCCUGUGAUGCUGGUCAUUGCUGUGGUUAAAGUUGCCGGGGGUAGAGCUGUCGAAUGAGUUUCGGCGAUAACGGCGCUGUUGGUGGGCUCCCCCCUGGUUGCUUUGGUUACGCUGUUGCCAGACACGAUUUGGACUGGGGGUUCGAAUGCGUGGGGGCGGGGCCUGGAAAGGGUGGGGCAAUAGAGGCGGAGGAGGUGGAGACUUGGAACUCUUCUCUUCCUCCACUCCUUCUGUUCCCGCCCUCUCCCCCAGACCCAGAGCCUGCAGGGCAGCGUUGGCUGGUCCCCAAGACAACCGGUGGGCAGGGUUACUCUUGAAAGGGAACUUGAGCUUGCACUCCUGUGGAGGGAUGAAGCGUCCAGUCCCUGGGAGGUGCACGGGCACGGUGGGGGGUGUUUGACCUACAGACGGCAUAAUUAGUGAGUGGGACAGUGUGUAAAAACCAGUGUGGAUCUUGUUCUCACCUUGGUUCUGGUUCUGAUUGAGGCCUCGCAGUUUCUUGCUAAUGUUCUGCUGCUGCAGGUUUUGAAUUCUCUGCUGUUCUUGUUUCAGCCAGCGGAGGCGCCCUCUCCUGAAUGCUGGAUCUUCGUCCAUCAGACGUUGCACCCUGGUCUCUGGCAAGUCAGCAUCCUGGUCCCUGUGAGGAGCCUCUCCUCCUUCCUCGUUUUCCACAUCAUCAUCCUAGAAGGGAAGGCGGCCUUAAGUUGGGCUCAAGUUGAGUGAUGUGUCCAUAACAAGAUGGCAGUCAGCGGCUCACUUGGACAGGGCGAAGAAGAAGUCAUCACAACGGAACACGUCAACGUUGAGCAUGGCGCAUCCCGUUACCAUCCAGUGUUGUGAGCUUCGGAUGUUACACCAUGCAGUUCAGGGAACACCGUGCACCUUGCCCAAGUUGGCUGCUCACCAGUCACCCUAAACAUAACCGCUGUAGAAACAUGAUGUUUAAAUGGUUCCCAUCCAGCAGCCUUUCCCGUCUCCAACAGAACCUCAUGGUUCCAUGUGUGUUUACUGAGCUUUAUUGUGAAUAGGAAUAAAUGACAUCACUUUAAAAAGUAAUCUUGGUCCUGCUGUCAAACACACAAAGCAAAUAAGUCAUACAAAAAGGUAUUUGUGUUUUAAAAGAAGUCAAGGUCGUCUGGUGCGUCCAGGUCUCUGUAUUCGAUGAUGGAGCGUGGGUCUCCUCGCAUGCCCCUGCACACACACACACGCAUGCACACAGACACAACGUUACACAUACUACACACAUAUCAGGCAUCAACUUUGUUUUUCACCUGUUGUUGCGUUGUUUCCCGGGAAAUGCGCCACCUCCUAACUGACCCCUGAAGUUGUCAUACGCCCCACGUCCAGCUCCAAACUGGUUGGAUGGGUAAUGAGGACCACCUGUGCGCACACACACACACACACACUUUAUGCGAGUGUUGCUCUGGAAUGAGGUGUUUAAUGAAUGAA